AUAUUUCAAAUAAGUAAAAAAAUAUAUAUAUAAUUGAUGAGUCAUUUUUGUCGAUAUUUGUGCUUGACUCACCACAUUUAGAACAUGCCACAUAAGUUAUACAGUAAGUUUGAAAAAUAAAUAACUAAAAAGCUGUUGUGUGCCGAGCUAAUUAGUCAGUUAUGUUGUUUCAGAUAUAUUCUUUUUGUAUAAAUAGAUUCAUUCUAAAA
This 209-nucleotide long non-coding RNA is filed under the name Ananas comosus (pineapple). RNAcentral's name for it is "long non-coding RNA (ACOM_LNC013019)". The record is from RNAcentral. Lineage: Eukaryota; Viridiplantae; Streptophyta; Magnoliopsida; Poales; Bromeliaceae.